GAUGAAGAACGUAGCGAAAUGCGAUAAGUAAUGAGAAUUGCAGAAUUCAGUGGAUCAUCGAAUCUUUGAACGCACAUUGCGCCCCUUGGUAUUCCGAGGGGCAUGCCUGUUCGAGCGUCAUUUCAACCCUCAAGCUCUGCUUGGUCUUGGGCCUGGCCGUGAUGGCCGGUCUUAAAAUCAGUGGCGGUGCCGUCGCAGGCUCCAAGCGUAGUACAUCUCUCGCUCUGGAAACUUGGCGGUGCCUGCCAGACAACCCCUAUUUGUCUCUUUCGGUUGACCUCGGAUCAGGUAGGGAUACCCGCUGAACUUAAGCAUAUCAAUAAGCGGAGGA
RNAcentral lists this unclassified non-coding RNA (331 nucleotides) under soil metagenome. Its description in RNAcentral is "partial contains 5.8S ribosomal RNA, internal transcribed spacer 2, and large subunit ribosomal RNA". The stretch from base 1 to 120 matches the Rfam family "5.8S ribosomal RNA", at positions 35 to 154 of the family's 154-position model. The record is from RNAcentral.